This is a long non-coding RNA of Hirundo rustica (Barn swallow), 388 nucleotides long. RefSeq lists it as uncharacterized. NCBI's taxonomy places the organism in Eukaryota, Metazoa, Chordata, Aves, Passeriformes, Hirundinidae. The transcript has 3 exons. The record is from RefSeq and is a predicted model, not a curated record.
GUUCUUGCUGUGAAAUUCACCUCUGCUCUGUUGCAGGAUGUGUCUGCGCUGUUCAGCUCAACAAGUGACAGUUCAUGGACGUGUUUAAAUGUUAACAGAAGUUCGAAGGUGUUUUCACAGAGGUGCUACUGCUGUUGGUGAUCAGAUCUGCCUUGGAGCCAUCUGGCUUUGCCGGUACUGGACUCAGAAGAAGCUUCUGGAAGCCACCCCUGAAGUCCCUCUGCUACUGAAAUCCAGUCUCACAAACCCAACAUACACACAUAAGACCCAUUCACAAUGAACACGUGGAUUUACCUGAGAGAAGAAGUUCUCCUCAAAUCCUUUGUCCUGCUCCUCAUGGAUUCCAAAGGCUCAAGGAGUGUGCCUCCACUCCUACAGGUUCUGUGCG